RNAcentral lists this ribosomal RNA (504 nucleotides) under uncultured bacterium. RNAcentral's name for it is "partial 16S ribosomal RNA". It matches the Rfam family "Bacterial small subunit ribosomal RNA", at positions 28 to 506 of the family's 1533-position model. The record is from RNAcentral.
GACGAACGCUGGCGGCGUGCCUAAUACAUGCAAGUAGAACGCACAGUUUAUACCGUAGCUUGCUACACCAUAGACUGUGAGUUGCGAACGGGUGAGUAACGCGUAGGUAACCUGCCUGGUAGCGGGGGAUAACUAUUGGAAACGCUAGCUAAUACCGCAUAAUAUUGAUUAUUGCAUUAUAAUUGAUUGAAAGAUUCUAUUGCAUCACUACCAGAUGGACCUGCGUUGUAUUAGCUAGUAGGUGAGGUAACGGCUCACCUAGGCGACGAUACAUAGCCGACGUGAGAGGGUGAUGCGCCACCCUGGAACUGAGACACGGCCCAGACUCCUACGGGAGGCAGAAGUAGGGAAUCUUGGGCAAUGGGCGAAAGCCUGCCCGAGCAACGCCGCGUGGGUGAAGAAGGUUUUCGGAUCGUAAAACUCUUUUUUAAGGGAAGAACGGGUGUGAGAGUGGAAAUUUAACACUGGGGCGGUAUUUAACCAAAAAGGAACGGCUAACACCUG